RNAcentral lists this ribosomal RNA (327 nucleotides) under uncultured bacterium. Its description in RNAcentral is "bacterial SSU rRNA". It matches the Rfam family "Bacterial small subunit ribosomal RNA", at positions 28 to 334 of the family's 1533-position model. The record is from RNAcentral.
GACGAACGCUGGCGGCGCGCCUAACACAUGCAAGUCGAACGGAGCUAUUUCGACAGAUCCCUUCGGGGUGACAUUGGCUUAGCUUAGUGGCGAACGGGUGAGUAACACGUGAGGAACCUGCCCUUCAGAGGGGGACAACAGUUGGAAACGACUGCUAAUACCGCAUAAGCCCACAGCUCGGCAUCGAGCAGAGGGAAAAGGAGUGAUCCGCUUUGAGAUGGCCUCGCGUCCGAUUAGCUGGUUGGUGAGGUAACGGCCCACCAAGGCGACGAUCGGUAGCCGGACUGAGAGGUUGAACGGCCACAUUGGGACUGAGACACGGCCCAG